CCCUUAGAUGCUCUGGGCCGCACGCGCGCUACACUGGUCGAUGCAACGAGUUUCUUUCCUUGGCCGACAGGCCUGGGCAAUCUUUGAACAUCGAUCGUGAUCGGGAUAGAUUCUUGUAAUUUUUGAUCUUAAACGAGGAAUUCCUAGUAAACGCAAGUCAUCAGCUUGCAUUGAUUACGUCCCUGCCCUUUGUACACACCGCCCGUCGCACCUACCGAUUGGGUGCUCCGGUGAAUUGUUUGGACUGCUGUCAGUCUUUUCGGCCGUCGGCGAGAAGCUCUGUGAACCUUAGCACCUAGAGGAAGGAGAAGUCGUAACA
RNAcentral lists this ribosomal RNA (319 nucleotides) under uncultured eukaryote. RNAcentral describes it as "partial 18S ribosomal RNA". It matches the Rfam family "Eukaryotic small subunit ribosomal RNA", at positions 1470 to 1796 of the family's 1831-position model. The record is from RNAcentral.